This is a long non-coding RNA of Sphaerodactylus townsendi, 1790 nucleotides long. RefSeq lists it as uncharacterized. The transcript has 3 exons. Lineage: Eukaryota; Metazoa; Chordata; Lepidosauria; Squamata; Sphaerodactylidae. The record is from RefSeq and is a predicted model, not a curated record.
AAGGUGAGGAGGAGGAUGAGGAGGACGAGGAGGAACUGGAUGAAGAUGUCGUAGAUGAUGAAGAGGACGAGGAAGAACUGGACGGAGAAGAGGAAGAAGAUGGGGUAGAAGAUGAGGAGGAAGAAGAAGAUGAGGAGGGAGAAGACGAAGAUGACGAUGAAGGUGACGAGGAUGUCCCGCAGGGCGAGAAACGGAAACGAGAGCUCGAAGACGAGGGAGAAGAGGAUCCGGAGGACGAGGAAGACGAGGAAGACGCCUGACUCCUCCUCCUCCUCGCAAGCCAAUCAGUUUUGAGGACUGUGACUUUUCUCACCCUGGCCUCCACUGUUGUGUCCCACGUGAGACUGUAACGAAUUCUCCCCGCCCGUCCCGCAACGGCAUCUCUGCCCCCCCUCUCCCCCCCACACCCCUCUUUGUAUGGCUGCAACUCCCACAGUAUAUUUUUUUAAAACGUAGAAGAAGAAGAAAAGCUGUAGGCAUUUUGGAAAAGUGUUCCUCCCCUCCACAGAAUGCUCACUUCUUGUGUGACCCCCCCCCCCCCCGCCACCACUUCCUGUUUGGGUAUUUCGUGACCAAAGGCAUUCUCGAUUGGGUGAUUUGUAGGGCAACUCCCCGCUUCCCCUCCCACCGGCAAUAUAUAUUUUUCCUCCCAUCCCCAGUUUUCUUGGGUUUGGCCUUGUCGACUCAAACCCGCCUCUGUUUCCUUUGGGCACGGCCAACGACAUUGCUGCUGGCUUCUGCUACGACGGACCCGACCCCCGCUGCCCCCUUUCGACAGGCAUUCUGGGAGUGUCAUGGGAUUUCAAGGCUAAACCCAAACUCGGGGCUGCAUGGCGUUUGGAUGUUUCUUAGCCUGUUGAAAGGGUUGCUGGAUGGUUGCCGUGGAGGGGCCACGGGUUCACCCGGGGUUGGCUUUGCCUCUACCGAACCCGUGGCCCACGGAAGAGGAGAUCCUCAACAAAGUUCACCUUUAAACUGGAUUAUUGCUUUAUUUUCAAAAUGUUGCUGUGUUGCUAUAUCUUGCCAGCCCUUGCCUGUCAGGGAAUACCCCAUUUUGCUUGGUGUCAUUAGUCCCCUGACCCCCAUAAUCCCCUUUCAAUACAGAUUAUGUCCUUUAGCAAGAAGGGAAGUUGGAAGUGACUCACCUUGGCUGUUUCUGAGUUUACUUUUCAGGCGCACUGGGAUCAUUUACUGGUAGCCUUGGAGUAUUGUCGCUCACCUCCCCAAAUCCACUACAUCCUCGAUGGUGCAGUGGUUAGUAACUGCCAUCCUUGUUUGCAGAGAUAUGUGUGUGGAGUGGUUGUCCCUCUGUAUCAAACUUAGGUUACUCCAAAGAUGAUUUUGGGGAGGGGAACCGAGUGAGGCCAAGGAGAGUUUGCAUAUUGCUAAUUGUUGUUUUCCCUGUUCUCGAGACAAAGAGACCAAUAUAUGGGUAUUGGCUAAGGAGGUGGGUGGAAAAAAAUUGGAGGUAGACCCCCCCCCCCCCAACUUUUUUGUGUGCAGUGAAUAUUGAGCCUCAAAAAUGGAAAAAAAUAAAAAGACGUGCCUGGAUUCAAAAGAGCGGUUUGGGCUUGAAUUUUCCUCCCCCCUCACCUCAUCUAGUCAUUUGAGAUUUAUGCAUUAGCCCUAGGAAAGUUUGACUUCAUUUCGUUGAGACUAAUCCCGAAAACCAGGAUUUUUGUUGUUGUUGUUGGGGAGAGGGGAGGUUGGUCCUUUUCUAUCUAUCGUUUUGUUUUGUUAUGAAAUUUGGAUAAAACUUGUAAUAAAAAGACUGAGUUUUUAAAAACCAA